Molecule: long non-coding RNA, 2215 nt
Organism: Chlorocebus sabaeus (green monkey)
Lineage: Eukaryota; Metazoa; Chordata; Mammalia; Primates; Cercopithecidae
Source: RefSeq, a predicted model, not a curated record
UGAGCCCAGCUCAGCACUAGGACUUGCCUAGGAACUGCAGUCCUUGUGACCUUGACUGCCAUUCAAGUUUAUUUACAACCCAGAGCACUUUACCCCCAUGGUGGUGAGGUUUGCUGAAACUCAAGUUCCAUACACUGAGUUGGGCAACUCCCUUGGGCAAUUCUCCUCUGGCUAGGGCUGGUCUAAAUAUUCUCUCCAUCAUCAGCCGUCAGCUGAAUUCAGUUCGGUUUUACUUUCAUUGUGACAAAGCAGCAUCAAAUUCAGUGCAAUGUCUCACAAUGGCUGCGCUCUCCCUCUUCCAAGCACAGAGAUUCUCUCUCCACGCCACACAGCCACUGCCAUGGCAUGGGGACAGGUGGCAUCAGCAACUCAAGACUGUCUUCCCUACCCUCUUCUUUGCCUCUUUCACCGGUAUGAAGUUAAAACCAGGACUACCCAGGCAGGGGGAGCUGCCUUCACUCACCCUUUCCCACUAUUGCUUCCAGAAACAUCUCCCCAUCUCUACAGUGGGGACUUUGUAAGCACAGAUGUGGGUCCCAUGAGUACUAGAGAAGGAAGCAGUAGCUGCAAAAAUCUUGGUUUCUCUGGCCCUUCUGACAGCAAGUACGGCCAGGAGCAGCUCCCUAAUCUACAUACUACAGAUCUAUCCACAAGAAGAUAGAUGGAACCAUUCUCCUCUUCUGAAUUCUAGAGCCUUAAGGAAGUUAACCUGAGUGGCUCAGCUUGGAUCGAGUGCCCAUCCUGGUCCAAGUAACUGUAGCAGCACAUCUGUGUAUUUGUGUAUCUUGUUCCUCCAUAAUCUUGCAGUCCGGGGAAACUGUGCAGAUGGAUGGGUUCCUGAAAAGCAGGAGUUGCUUAGACAACCCUAGAGGUGUUCAGUUCUGGGAGACAAGAGUUGGGCCAGGUUGAUAACUAACCUAAAAGAGUCAGAAUCAAAUGAAUAAGAAUUAAAUCUUGGAUGACCACCUAGAUCAAGAGUCUCGAGGUUCAGUCAUUUCAAAAAGUUCAAGUCUCAUUGCUUCUUGGCCUUCUGGCUAAGAUCAUGUGCAGCAUCUGUUCUUACCAGUUUAAUAUCUGAUACAUUCUCUAUCUGAGGAUAAUAUAAUAAGUAGAUUUUUGGAGCAAGGAGAUGGAAUAGGAGCUUGCUCUGUCCACUCUACACAUUGACCUGGAUUGCAGUACCUCCAGGAAUUGUGCACCCUCUCUACCACCCCCAAAAAGUCCAAGUCUCAAGAGGUAGUCCGGAAAAAAGUGUUUUUGGAUUUAUCUACAUUUUUUUUUUUUCUGAGAUGGAGUCUCGUUCUGUCACCCAGGCCGGAGUGUAGUGGCACCAUCUCAGCUCACUGUAACCUCUGCCUCUGGGAUUCAAGCGAUUCUCCUUCCUCAGCCUCCCAAGUAGCUGGGAUUACAGGUGUGUGCCACCAUGCCCAGCUAAUUUUUGUAUUUUUAGUAGAGACAGGGCUUCACCAUGUUGGCCAGGCUGGUCUCGAACUCCUGACCUCAGAUGAUCUACCUGCCUUGGCCUCCCAAAGUGCUAAGAUUACAGGCGUGAGCCACUGCUCCUAGUCUAAUUUUUGUAAUUUUAGUAGAGAUGGGUUUUCACCAUGUUGGCCAGGUUGGUCUCGAACUCCUGAUCUCAGGUGAUCCACCCCCGCCCCCCCACCGGCCUCCCAAAGUGCUGGCACUACAGGCGUGAGCCACCGCUCCUGGCCGGGUUUACCUACAUUUUGGAGAUGCUGCACUCCAGGUCCCUCUUUUCAAGAGUCACAUAAGUAUUUGCAUAUGGAAGACCUUGAGAAGGCGCCUGGGAAAAAAACCUGUUUAACUGUAAAUAUAAUAAUGUAUGUAUUUGUAUGUGGACCUCUUCUUUUAGUGGAUUAUCUAUAAACCGUCCACUGUUCCCAAUGCAUACUUUGGAGACAGACCUACACUACCAGUUUUCACCUGCUAGUUAUUUUUAUAAGGGUUGGGAUGGUCCAUGAGUGAACAGUCUUGAUUUAAAGCAGUGUUUCCCAAACCUCAUUUAUUUGCCUAUAACCUUCCUGGAAUUUGUCUUAUAUGUCUCCUCUGUGCACUAUUCCUAUAUGUUUUUAUGUAAAUCAAUCAUUUUUUUAAAAAGCCUCAUCCCAGUUAUAUCCGUAAAACAAUGGUCAUUUUUUUCUUAUACAUAUUGGAAUACAUAUCUAUUAGAAUUAAAAUGCUUGUCCAUGCACUA